RNAcentral lists this ribosomal RNA (507 nucleotides) under uncultured Glomeraceae. RNAcentral describes it as "SSU rRNA". It matches the Rfam family "Eukaryotic small subunit ribosomal RNA", at positions 569 to 1078 of the family's 1831-position model. Lineage: Eukaryota; Fungi; Glomeromycota; Glomeromycetes; Glomerales; Glomeraceae. The record is from RNAcentral.
AGCAGCCGCGGUAAUUCCAGCUCCAAUAGCGUAUAUUAAAGUUGUUGCAGUUAAAAAGCUCGUAGUUGAAUUUCGGGGUCAGUAGGUUGGUCGUGCCACUGGUACGUACUGGUCUCACUGAUUCCUCCUUCCUGAUGAACCGUAAUGCCAUUAAUUUGGUGUUGCGGGGAAACUGGACUGUUACUUUGAAAAAUUAGAGUGUUUAAAGCAGGCUAACGCUUGAAUACAUUAGCAUGGAAUAAUGAAACAGGACGUUCGAUCCUAUUUUGUUGGUUUCUAGGAUUGACGUAAUGAUUAAUAGGGAUAGUUGGGGGCAUUAGUAUUCAAUUGUCAGAGGUGAAAUUCUUGGAUUUAUUGAAGACUAACUACUGCGAAAGCAUUUGCCAAGGAUGUUUUCAUUAAUCAAGAACGAAAGUUAGGGGAUCGAAGACGAUCAGAUACCGUCGUAGUCUUAACCAUAAACUAUGCCGACUAGGGAUCGGAUGAUGUUAAUUUUUUAAUGACUCA